This 440-nucleotide ribosomal RNA is filed under the name uncultured Desulfuromonadales bacterium. RNAcentral's name for it is "bacterial SSU rRNA". It matches the Rfam family "Bacterial small subunit ribosomal RNA", at positions 96 to 513 of the family's 1533-position model. Lineage: Bacteria; Pseudomonadati; Thermodesulfobacteriota; Desulfuromonadia; Desulfuromonadales. The record is from RNAcentral.
UGGCGCACGGGUGAGUAACGCGUGGAUAAUCUACCCGACGGACCGGGAUAACAUUUCGAAAGGGGUGCUAAUACCGGAUAAGACCACGGCUUCUUAGGGGGCUGCGGUAAAAGGUGGGGACCUUCGGGCCUACCGUCAUCGGAUGAGUCCGCGUACCAUUAUCUAGUUGGUAGGGUAAGGGCCUACCAAGGCGACGAUGGUUAGCUGGUCUGAGAGGAUGAUCAGCCAUUUCUGGAACUGAGACACGGUCCAGACUCCUACGGGAGGCAGCAGUGGGGAAUUUUGCGCAAUGGGGGAAACCCUGACGCAUCAACGCCGCGUGAGUGAUGAUGGCCUUCGGGUCGUAAAGCUCUGUCAGAGGGGAAGAACUGCAGGGGUGCUAAUAUCAUCUUUGCUUGACGGUACCCUCAAAGGAAGCACCGGCUAACUCCGUGCCAGCA